This 326-nucleotide ribosomal RNA is filed under the name uncultured Acidobacteriaceae bacterium. Its description in RNAcentral is "bacterial SSU rRNA". It matches the Rfam family "Bacterial small subunit ribosomal RNA", at positions 1053 to 1382 of the family's 1533-position model. Lineage: Bacteria; Pseudomonadati; Acidobacteriota; Terriglobia; Terriglobales; Acidobacteriaceae. The record is from RNAcentral.
CGUCAGCUCGUGUCGUGAGAUGUUGGGUUAAGUCCCGCAACGAGCGCAACCCUUGCCCUGUUUUGCCAUCAUUAAGUUGGAACUAUCAGGGGACCGCCAGCGAUAAGUUGGAGGAAGUGGGGAUGACGUCAAGUCAUCAUGGCCUUUAUGUCCAGGGCUACACACGUGCUACAAUGGACGGUACAAAGCGCUGCGAAGCCGCGAGGUGGAGCUAAUCGCAAAAAACCGUUCUCAGUUCGGAUCGCAGGCUGCAACUCGCCUGCGUGAAGCUGGAAUCGCUAGUAAUGGCAGAUCAGCAUGCUGCCGUGAAUACGUUCCCGGGCCCU